RNAcentral lists this long non-coding RNA (2805 nucleotides) under Anneissia japonica. RNAcentral describes it as "uncharacterized LOC117114493, transcript variant X3". Lineage: Eukaryota; Metazoa; Echinodermata; Crinoidea; Comatulida; Comatulidae. The record is from RNAcentral.
GGCCCUCAGUGUGUUUCUGUUAAUGAUGUUUUAACCAACAUCACAGUGGAAGUUGGAAUGAGCAGGAUGAUUUGACUUUGCUGUUGCUGUUGUUGUUGCUUUUCUGGCCCUGGCCAAGUUAUGCAAAUAAGCAGCGGGUGGAAGUUCCACGAGGUAAGACCGUAAGAGAAGUACUGUUUGGCAACAGCUCAGACCUUUGGGAAUCGUAUUAUGGGAUGUUGCAGCGAGACAGCAUGGUUUGGAGAAGAUGGUGAGUUAUUGAACAUUACCUUUGUUUUUUUUCUCAAAUUUAGCAUUAUUUUUUUCAACUAUUUAAAGGUCAUAAUUUAAUGAUUUAUAUAUUAAAAUCCUAGUUACUUUAUGAUAUGAAUUUUGUUUUAUAUAGUUGAUUAUUAUGUACAGAAUGAUGUUGGAAAAUUUCGUCUUGACGUAAAAGCUAGUUUUUUGUUAACUACAGAAGCUUUGUAUACCAUGUGUGCACACGUGUACGCUAUGUGGCUUUUGACAGGCAUGUUGAUAAUUAACAGAAUACACGUUUAAACAUGGUUAGAUGAGCCUAGGCUAGUUGCUGUAGUAGUACAGAAGGACCCUACUAGACUAGGGUAUGCCUAGGUUAGCCCUGCUUUCUAGCUAGCUAGGCUAACCUAGCACAUAUGAUUAAGGACGGGCCUGUCCUAUUACUACUAGGCCUAGGCUAUUAUAUUAUAUUAUUAUUUAUUUAUAUUAAUUAUUAUAGGCUGUGGAGGGUCCAGGGACCUAGGGAUCGUUAAUAAUAUUAGAUAAUAUUAGUCAAUAAUACCUAGGCCUAGACUAUCAGGUACUAAGUAGGUUGUGUUAAUGUGGUGGUGUUAAUUGGUCUAGGCAGCCUAGUACUAGUUAAUAUUUCGAUCCAUUAAUUAUAUUGACAAGUCGACAAAAAAAGAAUUGAUGUAAAACUGUUUUAAUUUUAAUAAAACAAAUUAAGUUACUAUUUGUAUAUGAUUUUUCAUACCGUAAUUAUAACUCAUUUUAAUUUAUUUCAAUUGUUUCAGAUACAUGAAAAUAUGACAUGUAGUAAACCAUCAUAUCACGCACGAGAAUCCACAUGGAUUCGGCUAGUAAGGGCGCAUAGAAAAAUGGUGAAUUAUACAUAACAUAAAAUAAUUGUGUGUGCAACCAAAGCAGAAAUAAUUUUUAAAGUUCCAAAUAUAAUUACAACACUAAAUUACACAAUUUCAGUUACCUCGCAACACUUGUGCACAUGAUUGCCCACAAAUGCCUUGCCAUGAUAUGCCUGGCGUUCUACCUUUCUGACCUGCAACACAUCAUCCAAUGCACAGACUAUGGGUCCUGAGCCAAAUUUAAGUUGUUUAUCAAGCUUCAUUUCCUUAUAGAUGCAGUGUACAAAUUUAAGUUGUGUUAAUUUAAUAUUGGUUAAAACAAUACAAUACAGUGUAGUGUUUUAUAUUUCUGUAAUGUGCUCAAUAAAAUGUAUUGAUUUUUAUUAAUAUUGUACUUUAUACUAACCAGAUCUUUAAUUUCUUGUUGUUUAACAGCUAUGUUCCUCACUGCAUUGCACACUGCCUUGGAUUUAGUAAUGUUUUUGUUAAUAAAUACCAGCGGUAUUUCAUCUUCGAGAAGAUAAAGAUAGAUUUGAUAAGGCAAAAGAAAUUCAAGGCAUCGAGAAACAGAAGUGGCUGCAAGAUACAGGGAAAGUGUUAGGACAUCCAGGAGAAUGUGAUAUUUUGCGGAGUUGCUGCCAAGCAGGAUCACAGUCAACCUUGAUAGCCAGUGACCUGUCAACAUCAACUAUGGAUGGAGUUGCAGAUGCAGAGAUUUCGUGUGCUAAUUGAUUGUUGCUAUCCCCAUGUGAUAUCACCUCGCGUAAAGAUGACAUUUCCUGUGUACGUCGUUGAAGACUCCUUUUGCACACAUUGCUGCUGGAUUUUGCUGCUUUUGUGAUUACAGCAAUCUUCACUGGCUGAAAUAUUGUAAUCACACAAUUUAAAUACAGUUUUCAAAGUGCUACUGCAUUACAAAUGCAAUUAAUAAAAUAUUUUCUAAUGCUGUAAUUAUGUUAAAGAAUGUUAAAUUAAAUUUGUUUAGUAUAAAAUAAUUAAACCCUAACCCUUCCUCUAGUUUGGAUUUCAACCUCUUUGCACUGCUUGAGAGAUCGAUACACCACUUUAUUAGCCAACUGUUGAACUUCAACUGGUAUAGCAUUUUGAUUUUCCUCAAUUUCUUGUGCAAUUGUGGUGAUUGCACUGGAUAUUCUAUUGUAUUGUUGUUCAGCUGGUGUAGAGCACUUAUGUUGAUGGCAGUCAUCAAAUUUUAGGGUUUCACCGCAUGAUUUACAUAACAGUUGCACAGAUUUCAAUGAGUUCUGAACAAUCAUGGAUGGUGUUUUCACAUCAGAUACAUUCACAGGACACCUGCAGACAAAACAAGGGCAUUGUCGGUCUCGAAGUGUGCCAAACAGUUUUGAUAGUUUCUACAUUUUCUACUGACAUAAUACGCAGACAAAUGGCACAUUCAAAUAAUGAUAACGAUGAUUGAUCUUUGAUUGUAAAUUGUUGAUUCAAUGCAUUGUGCUGUAAAUGCUUAGAACAAAUGAUGGGUUUCAUUCUGUAACCUGUUUUUUUGUUGUUCUUUGAAUAAAUAACAUGAAAGGCACAGGGUUCGUACGGGUUUUGGAAAGUCAUGAAAAGUUAUGGAAAUUUGUUUAGGUAAUUUCCAGGACCUUAAAAGUUAUGGAAAAAUUAUUUGGUUAUGGAAAAGUUAUGGAAAUAUGUAGAAUGUGACAAAUAAAAUAAAUAGUAUGUCAAA